AGCCCCGAGGUGUUUUACAUGUCAGAUUGCAAAUCUUAAGUUGAGGGUUUGUCACCCUCCGGGGCUU
RNAcentral lists this transfer RNA (67 nucleotides) under Lophius litulon. Its description in RNAcentral is "tRNA-Cys". It matches the Rfam family "tRNA". Rfam says of the family: Transfer RNA (tRNA) molecules are approximately 80 nucleotides in length. The record is from RNAcentral. Lineage: Eukaryota; Metazoa; Chordata; Actinopteri; Lophiiformes; Lophiidae.